UUAGUAUGUGUGCGCAUUCAAAGCCAAU
Molecule: small RNA, 28 nt
Filed under: Bombyx mori (domestic silkworm)
Lineage: Eukaryota; Metazoa; Arthropoda; Insecta; Lepidoptera; Bombycidae
Description: ovarian small RNA-36741
Source: RNAcentral